CUUGAUGAGAGAAGACCUGUACAGCAGUAAUCGCACCCCGAGUUUUUGCUGUAGUUUUCCCUACGUUCACUAGCUACUAUGACAGACAGGAAACUGGAUUUGACCAUGGGGGAGGGCCCCAACGGCUCGCAUGACCAGGAUCGCAUGUCCGCUGAGCAAAUUCAGCAACUGGUCCACAGGAUACUGAGAGGAUUGUCUGGCGGACCUGCGCGAUGUGGGUCAUCACCUUCAGUUUCUUCGGUUGAAUGAUCCGAUGUUCUUUUGGAGAUCGCGGUCAAGUUGGAACAAGUGAUGUGUAGUUGUGUCUUCACUGUUCGGAGACGACUUCGGUUCUCGGCUUCGUUUGAAUGAUGGUUACAGUCCGGGGUUUUUCGGCAUCAAGAAAGAGGAGGAGGCGGAGGCAACACUGUCUUUUAUGGAGCAAGCCCGGAUGGGAUUGGUGGAGAUGUUGGAAGGGGUGCGGUCAGGUUGCUAGGUGACCUGCAUCUUUUUUCUUCCAUUUUACAUUCAUGUUACAUUUGUUUUUUCUGCUAUUGGGCAUAUUAAAGAAAGAAUAUGC
Hyla sarda is the source of this 559-nucleotide long non-coding RNA. RefSeq lists it as uncharacterized. The transcript is spliced from 3 exons. The record is from RefSeq and is a predicted model, not a curated record. NCBI's taxonomy places the organism in Eukaryota, Metazoa, Chordata, Amphibia, Anura, Hylidae.